RNAcentral lists this ribosomal RNA (18 nucleotides) under Globodera rostochiensis. RNAcentral's name for it is "partial 28S ribosomal RNA". The record is from RNAcentral. Lineage: Eukaryota; Metazoa; Nematoda; Chromadorea; Rhabditida; Heteroderidae.
CCUGAACUCAGACCGGAA